GUUGGUGGUUCGAGCUGUCUGGUUUAUUCCGUUAACGAACGAGACCUUCGCCAGCUAAAUAGUUCUUUGUUCUUGUUACAAAGAAUCUUCUUAGCGGGACUUUGUGCGUCUCAGCACAAUGAAGGGAAGGCAAUAACAGG
Molecule: ribosomal RNA, 140 nt
Filed under: uncultured eukaryote
Lineage: Eukaryota
Description: partial small subunit ribosomal RNA
Rfam family: Eukaryotic small subunit ribosomal RNA
Source: RNAcentral